This 28-nucleotide non-coding RNA is filed under the name Mus musculus (house mouse). The record is from RNAcentral. Lineage: Eukaryota; Metazoa; Chordata; Mammalia; Rodentia; Muridae.
UGAAAAGUGUCAGGAUGGCUCCCUGUGG